This 427-nucleotide ribosomal RNA is filed under the name uncultured bacterium. RNAcentral's name for it is "bacterial SSU rRNA". It matches the Rfam family "Bacterial small subunit ribosomal RNA", at positions 354 to 796 of the family's 1533-position model. The record is from RNAcentral.
GUCGAGAAUCUUCCGCAAUGGGCGAAAGCCUGACGGAGCAAUGCCGCGUGAGGGAUGAAGGCCUUCGGGUCGUAAACCUCUGUCGCCCGGGACGAAUUUUUGACGGUACCGGGAGAGGAAGCUACGGCUAACUACGUGCCAGCAGCCGCGGUAAUACGUAGGUAGCGAGCGUUAUUCGGAUUUACUGGGCGUAAAGGGUCCGCAGGGGGCCCGCCAAGUCUGAUGUGAAAGCCUACGGCUCAACCGUGGAAGGGCAUCGGAUACUGGCGGGCUAGAGUGCACGAGGGGUAGACGGAAUUCCAGGUGUAGCGGUGGAAUGCGUAGAUAUCUGGAAGAACACCGAUGGCGAAAGCGGUCUACUGGCGUGUUACUGACCCUCAGGGACGAAAGUGUGGGGAGCAAACAGGAUUAGAAACCCCAGUAGUCC